GCAGGACUCACCAAUCCUUCCUUUGUGUCCUACAGACUUCUACCUCAGCUCCUGAAACAUUCCAGCUAAAGAUUUGUGUUGUCACAAGCCCAGGAAUCAUCUACUGCUGAAGCCACAUAGAUGCAGAGAUUUUCACCUGCGUGGUUACUGGAGCUCUUCAGUCUCCAUAUUUUGUCAGUGGAGGAAACUUAAGCCUGGAGAGGGGCGUGAACCCAACAUUUAGUGAAAACCAUAAAGCAAAUUCUUCCCCAAACGUGGUGGGCAGCUUCUGCCCUGAACCAUUGGAGAAUAUAGUGGAGCAGCCUGCAUCCCCCACAACCACCUACCCUCGCAAGAGGCUCUGUACCUCUCAGUGCCCACAGGCAUCAGUCGGGCAGAGACAGUGGAUAUUUUGUUGGCACCACCAACACACAAAUUCAUGAAUAAAGAGUCCCCUUGCUAAAUGGUCUCUUUGGUUAGGUAUCAGACAUUUUCUGGUUAGACACUGUUAUUUAGAUAUCAAUUGUAUUGAUGUCUAAAACUUUCUAGAUUUAGUUAGAAGUAAUUGUAAGUUUCUUAUAACUCUAAAAGCUACAAUUUGAUAUGAUAUUUUUGAGGGCCUAGGGGACAAAAGGUAUAUUGAUAUUGAUGAGUAGGCAUAUUAUAUCAUUCAAUCCUCACAACAAGAGUAUGAAGUAGACAUUACCAUACUAAUUAGUCUAAGAUUCAAAGGAGUCCUGUGAUU
Long non-coding RNA from Rhinolophus ferrumequinum (greater horseshoe bat), 724 nucleotides. RefSeq lists it as uncharacterized. The record is from RefSeq and is a predicted model, not a curated record. NCBI's taxonomy places the organism in Eukaryota, Metazoa, Chordata, Mammalia, Chiroptera, Rhinolophidae. The transcript has 3 exons.